CAGCCUGGCCAACGUGGUGAAACCCCGUCUCUACCAAAAAAUACAAAAAUUAGCUGGGCAUGGCGGCACACACCUGUAGUCCCAGAUACCGGAGAGGCUGAGGUGGGAGAAUAGCUUGAACCCGGGAGGCAGAGGUUGCAGUGAGCUGAGAUUGUGCCAUUGCACUCCAGCCUGGGCAACAUGAGCGAAACUCCAUCUCAAAAAAACAAAAACAAAAAACAAACUCAAAUUAGCAUGAUAGAUCAGGCUACUUAGAUUCAGCUUUCUGAGAUGUUAUUUGUUAACAUUAAGGCUAAUUUAUUAUAAUGAAAAUGUAAACUUUGAGGUAUGUUAAUAUAUAAACAUCUUUUUCCUUUGGCCUAAAAGGUCUUUAGUAUUCAGCACACUGGGUAAAGUUCAGUUUAGACACAAUCAAAUUGGCAUCUUUUAAACAUAAGUGAAAUAUAGAGAGCUUGAACUUGAGUUACUUAAAGAAGAUACAGUAUAAUUAAUUAUACAGAACAAAACAAAGAUGUGUUUAGAGUGACUCUGGCCUGACUCUUGUCCAUCAGCCCCUAGUAGCCUAUCUUCAGCCUUUGGGAAGUCUUAACUUCCCAGGUUAAACUAGAAUAUUCUGGAACUGAGCUGUCCAAAUUUCAUCUUAAAGUGGAUCAUUUGACUCUGAAACACGAUUCUCAUGGCAGAAAAAGCCCUGGUGUUUCCUUGGAGCUGGGGAUAAAGGCCAGUGAGCCAGCCUGUGAUGAGAGCUGCCCCUGGCACUAUCUGAGUGGAAAGCUCAUUGGGACAGCCAUGCAGCUAUCAGAGCCGACUGAAGCCCUGUCCCUUACCCCUCAGGCACCUGAUGCUUAACUUGCCUCCUGGGAAAUAAUGAUCUAGCAUUUACUUGGAACAAUGAUUAAUCAUGUUCUUUAAUAAUUGCUGACAUUUGUAUUUUAAGCUGUAUACCAAUGUUCGUAUUUGACAUUGAUUUUCUAACCAUUAGAGAUAUUUAAUUAAAACUUGGAAAUGAAAGAAACAAAAUGAAAUUUAGUUUCUUUUGGUUUGAAUCCUAAUUUUU
RNAcentral lists this long non-coding RNA (1057 nucleotides) under Homo sapiens (human). Its description in RNAcentral is "HSALNT0386634". The record is from RNAcentral. Lineage: Eukaryota; Metazoa; Chordata; Mammalia; Primates; Hominidae.